Molecule: ribosomal RNA, 483 nt
Filed under: uncultured bacterium
Lineage: Bacteria
Description: partial 16S ribosomal RNA
Rfam family: Bacterial small subunit ribosomal RNA
Source: RNAcentral
AGUGAACGCUGGCGGCAGGCCUAACACAUGCAAGUCGAGCGGCAGCGCGGGGGCAACCCUGGCGGCGAGCGGCGGACGGGUGAGGAAUUCGUCGGAAUCUGCCUCUUUGUGGGGGAUAACGUAGGGAAACUUACGCUAAUACCGCAUACGUCCUACGGGAGAAAGUGGGGGACCGCAAGGCCUCACGCAGAAAGAUGAGCCGACGACCGAUUAGCUAGUUGGUGGGGUAAAGGCCCACCAAGGCGACGAUCGGUAGCUGGUCUGAGAGGAUGAUCAGCCACACUGGGACUGAGAACCGGCCCAGACUCCUACGGGAGGCAGCAGUGGGGAAUAUUGGACAAUGGGCGCAAGCCUGAUCCAGCCAUGCCGCGUGGGUGAAGAAGGCCUUCGGGUUGUAAAGCACUUUUGUCCGGAAAGAAAUCCCUGGAGCUAAUACCUUCGGGGGAUGACGGUACCGGAAGAAUAAGCACCGGCUAACUUCGU